Molecule: RNA transcript, 3476 nt
Organism: Chelonus insularis
Lineage: Eukaryota; Metazoa; Arthropoda; Insecta; Hymenoptera; Braconidae
Exons: 5
Source: RefSeq, a predicted model, not a curated record
CAGCCGAAGUUUUCCGACCAAACUACUCUUUUCUUAGUUCUACUUUAUUUAAAUAUUUGGUUAUUUAUACUAUAUAGUGAGAAGAAUUAAUUUACAGUGUAUACUGAACGUAAUAAAUUAAUUGUCUAGUUGGGGAUUUAUCUGACUUAUAACAUUGUUAAUGUAUUAAGAAUAAUAUGAUACAAAUCGAUUGAAGUAUAGGUUAGGUUUUGAUGUCAAAUAAAAAUAAAUCGAUUUUCAUGUCAAUGCAUUGAUUCAGUAUACAGUAAAUAAUUACAACAUUUUUAUUCUUUAUUGUUUUAACAUUUUUUUUGUUUUAGAGAAUUAAAUUUAAAAUUAUUGACAAUUAUAUUUUUUAUAUUACCAUGGACAUUGAUUUUUGUGAUUUGUCAACUGGUGACUUGCUGAAUAAAUUAAAAGGGUAUAUCGCAGAUGAAGAAACAUUAAAUAUUUUAUAAGGUAUAUAGCUACGAAAGUAAAUUAUGUUAUUAUUUAAUUGCUGUUUUUAUUUUGUGGGUAAAUAAUUACCAGUUGGUCACUGUUUUUUGAAUAAAUCCAUUUUUAUUUUUACCAAGAUCUUACUCACAAUCUUUCAUAUUUCUCAUUAAUUUUUGUCUCUGAAUACUCUUUGUUUUCUAGAAAUUGUAUGAUAUAAGUCUAAUUGAUUUUUUUCACUGUGUAGUACAAAAUAUUUUGUACUUACAAAUCUUGAUUCCUAUCUUUAUUUAACCUCUAUAAUUUUUGAAUUCAAGUAUUUUUCAUGGAACAAAUUAGAUGAAAUAGCACGCUUUCGAUUAAAAAAAAUCUUUGAAUUGCUUCAAUAUAUCGAUUUAUAUAAUAAACAGUUUAUUGCUUCAGGUGGAGAAAUGGCAGAAAAUUCCAUUGAUUAUUGAUCAUUAAUCAAUAAGUGAUUUACAUGUGUUGAACAAAAUUAAUUAAAAACUUCUUCAAAUAACGUAUUUCAAUUAAAUAGAAUUUCCACACGGAGAGAAAAUUCAUAGAAAAAUUACUGUGCUCAGCACUACAAUCGACGUGUGAAAGCCGAACAUAGUCAAUUUUGUACGGCAAAAAUAUAAAAAUUAUAAUUAAUCAUAGAAAAUUUAAAGGAUAAAAUAUUCUUUCUUAAAAUUCAGCUUUGUAAAAUUUGUAAAACAGCACAGUAAAAAGUUCCAUUCCCGACAGAAAAAUAUUUUUUGAUUGUUUUUCUUACAAAAAUUACUAUUUAAGCUGCCAUAGAGUCCUAGACGAACUAAUAUAUUUUACCAUGCUGUCUUAUAAUUUUUCAAAUGCUAUCUGCUAAUAGUAGAAAGAAAGAAAGAGAAAGAAGGUAUCAACGCUGUUGAGCAUGAGAAUUAUUUUAAACAAAAAAAAUGAUAUCUCAUUAACUAUUAAUCGUAGAGAAGCCUAUAAGGGGUCAUUUUGUUCGUAAAGCGAUUUUCUAAAAAUUGUACGCAUUAUGUCUAGAUCUCGGAUUCAUAGUUUUCGAAAUAUUCUACUAUUAAGUUAAAACAACGUGCAUUCUGCUAUUAACAUAAGAAAGAAUCGAAGGUCGGAAAAGAUCGGGCAUCUUCGAAGUUUUUCGAAGCAGGUUUGAAUACGUUUAUUGUUCCUCAGUGCGUAAUUGACUGUGUUAUCAAUAGAGAGUGAUACAUUAUACAGUGACACAUAAAAGUGCGUCAUUUUGUAACGACUAAAAUGUUUUAUCUUACAGGAUUUACAAGGGCAUUUUGAACGUCCAGAAAUUAUCAACAACCCUAUAUACCAACUUUUAUUAAAUUCAGCUGAUGGCAAAAGUGUUUUAAAAUAUUAUCGAGAUAAUGGAUGCUUGAAGAAAACCUUAAGAAAUUUACUCAGCAGACUUAUACUCAGCACUGAAAAAGAUAGACAAUUAGAAACAGUUCUCCAAGUGCCAUAAAGAUGCUCCUAUUUUUUACAAAGUAGAUAAUAUUAUAGUUUGUAGCAAUAUUAAAGUAUGUCUUAUUGUUAAAAAAUUAAUAAGUACAUUCCUCUACGAAAAAACUGAAUGUUAUCGAUUGUACAACGAUCAGUAUACGUGGGAUGUACUAAAUUUGGAUGACCUAUUUAGCUUUAAGAUUACGAAUCUUGUAAGAGCAUCUAAUGGUGCGAAAUUUAUUCUCAAAAAUUGGUUUUAAUUAAAAUAAAGAUAUAUUUAAUAAUUCAUAAAAGUGUUUUAUCAUUAUCAAAUUCAACCGCGAUUCCUUAAUUUCCCUAAAUCAAAAAAACAUUAUUAAUUUUUUACGUUACAGCCUUUUUUUGAAUCAAAAAUAAAUAAUAAGCUGUAGAGAAAUUAAUACAUUGAUAUAUAAAUAUUGUUAAGCAUACUUAGAAAUUUUACUAAAUCGAUAAGGAAGUUUUCUAAUACAGCACAUUAAAUUUUACCAUGCCAGCACAACAAUUUUUAUGAAGCCAUGACUAAUACUCUUUAUGUUUCAAUUUGAUAAUAUUUACGUUUCAAUUUAAUAAUAUUUACAUGAUCGUAAAAUACUUUUUACUUUGGUCGUCGAUCGCGCACGCAUUAUAAGAGAGCAUGGUAAUUUUUCUGAAAUUUUCUCUACAAAAAUUAUAUGAUUUUUCUCUCCGUGCAGAAUUCCCACCGGUAUUUAGAAAUUCAGUUGAUAUUAUUAUCCAUCAUGGUGAACUUAAAUUGUUAUAUGUGCAAUGAACGUGUUCCUGGUUCUCUAAAUGGUCUUUCUAAUCAUCUGAUUGUCGUUCAAAAAAUGUUCAAAGAUUCAGCAAACAAUUUUUCAUUAAAAUUCCCAACAUUUUAUACAAAGCGAAUUAUCGCUUAUGCUGAACAAUUUUCAUCUGAACUAUUUAAAAAAUCCAAAAUUAUAGAAAAUGGUGCGUAUUGAAAUUUUUAACAGAGCAUUCUAUUAUUAGUAAUAGAAUUAAAGGAAAGGGAAAAAAGAGAGUGAGUUUUGGAGCAAUAAAUAUUUUCAUCUAAAGUUACAAAUUACUAUUUCGCUAUAUUUAUUUUUAUUAUUUCAAUAUGGAACGAUCUCGAUUUUUUUAAAUAUUAGGCUCUUGAGGAAACAGAUAAUGAAGAAGAUAAUACACCUGGUGUAGAUUUUCCGAACCCUUAUUUACUACGAAUCAUAUCAGAAAAUAUUAAUAUAUCAAAUUAUGUGGCUGAUAUUAGAAAUAAAGCAACUGAAAAUGUUCAGCCAUACAUGAUUAUGGUAAAUGGUCAAGGUCUUCGUCAUAUUUUUAUCCAGGGAGACGAAUGGAUUAUUGAGAUCCCUGACAAUGCAGAUUUGAUAACUGCCUUCGAUAUUCUUUUUAAACUCUUUUAUGUGCUACAUGUGGAAUUUCCUCAUAAGUUGGACCAUUUUUAUAAUUUCAUGGCCGUAUAUAUUUAUAAAAUGGACAUAAAGCCUCAUAAUGUAGUUGCUUCUCUUCAUGUUAAUAUGAAGAAUAUUAAUAUUAAUACUGAUUAAGAUUAAUAAAACAUAGAA